Rhododendron vialii is the source of this 811-nucleotide long non-coding RNA. RefSeq lists it as uncharacterized. The transcript has 2 exons. NCBI's taxonomy places the organism in Eukaryota, Viridiplantae, Streptophyta, Magnoliopsida, Ericales, Ericaceae. The record is from RefSeq and is a predicted model, not a curated record.
AGACCCGUAUUUUAUUUCCAUAAUUCUUUAUGUUUUAUGAAGGCAUGAGUUGUGAUAUAAAAUGGAGAAUGAGUUUGGAUGUCGAAUGUGCUAGAAUUUAGAAGUUCGGGGUGCAAGUGUAAUAUGCAUGGGUGUAUAAGUGAAGGUGUGUGUAGGGGAUAAUUUUCCCCCACCUAUAUUUCUUUUCUUUUCCGGGCCAGGCACACACGUUUCUCUCUCUCUAUUCUCUCGGCCGACUCUCUCUCUUUCUCACCUCUCCUCCAAACUUCUCUCUUCGAUUUCAUCUCCUUAGAAUGAGAUUUCGGAAAAAUCCCAAGUACUAAAGUUGUUCUACGCGACGAGAUCUUCCUAUCGAUCGAAGAAGAAUCAUGAUCGGAGCACUUUGAGGUUUCCUCCAUGUUCGGGCUUGCUUCUAACCCUCGAGGUAUGGAUAUCUCUACGAGCUAGUGUAGCUCACCCUAUCCUUUCAGGUACUCGCCAUUCGCCAUGAAACUUAGCUUGGAUUGCAUGGAGUGCACAUUGAGACGUCCCUUGAGAGCUUCAUUGGAAUCAUGAAGGAGGUGUUUUAUUAUCUAGUCUAAUUCAUGUUGUGUACUUUACUCACAAUUGAAAGUUGUAUCUUUUGGUUAGAACAUAUGUAAAGCUAGGUAUAAACUCCUCUCUUUGAUUAUUGUGAAGACCUUUUAAUGGAAUACGUUUGGGAGACUUUAUGUAAAAAAAAAAAAAAAAAAAAUUUAGAGAGAAGAAGAAGAGACUUUGAUUCUUUGUUUGGAUUGGCUUGACAUUUAAUGGUAAAUAUAAUUGAGAAAAA